GGCUAUCCUGGUUAUGGUUAUGGCUACCCUACCUAUUACCGAGGCUAUGGCUACCCAAACACCUAUGGCCUUCACUAUGGACACGACCUUCACAAACGGUCUGUUGACGAAGACGAAGCCGAGCCAUCCUAUGUCACUCCCAUCCACAGCCACCAAAGCCACUCCUUUGUAGGCCAUGACUAUUCUAGUCCUUACCACUACGGCUAUCUGCACAAGAGGUCUGCUGAUCCUGAAGUCGUACCAUCCUACCAUUCUACUAUCUACAAUCCUUAUGGACGCCCUUACAAUCACGGCUAUCCUUACCACCCUAUCCAUAAGAGGUCCGCUGAUCCUGAAGCCGAAGCCGAACCAUCCUACUAGUCUAGCAUCUACAAUCCCAAUGGACACCCUUACAACUACGGCUGUUCAUACCACCCUAUCCACAAGAGAUCUGCUGAUCCUGAACCCGAACCAUCCUACCAGUCACCUGUCUACAAUCCCUACAGACACUCUUACAACACAACUACGGCUAUCCCUACCGCCCUAUCCACAAGUGAUCUGCUACCAGUCUACCAUUUAGAAUCCCUAUGGACGCCCUUAUGUCUACGGCUCUUCCUGGCGCCCUAUCCACAAGAGGUCCGCUGAUCCCGAACCAGAACCUUCUUUCUAUUCUGCCAUCCACUGUAACUACCGCCCAAACUAUUCCAAUAUCGACGUCCGAAAUUAUGGCUACAACUACGGUCAUUCACCAUAUUCCGGAUAGAUAUACUUUAAAUACAGUUCGAAGUAGAAGCUCAGACCUCCAUAAUGAAACCUGGUCCUCAUUCCUUUUACAUAACUCUCACUCCAACAGCCUUCACACGUGCUAUGGUUAUGGCGACCGUAGAUCUUACAGACACCGGUCAAAUGUUCUUAGAGAGUAAAUACUACACUUGUUAAGGUGUUAAUACUACAUCUGGACUAAAAGACAAAUAAAGAUAGGCCUACUACACAAAA
Molecule: long non-coding RNA, 975 nt
Filed under: Penaeus japonicus
Lineage: Eukaryota; Metazoa; Arthropoda; Malacostraca; Decapoda; Penaeidae
Description: uncharacterized LOC122264709
Source: RNAcentral